This 253-nucleotide ribosomal RNA is filed under the name uncultured bacterium. Its description in RNAcentral is "partial 16S ribosomal RNA". It matches the Rfam family "Bacterial small subunit ribosomal RNA", at positions 524 to 776 of the family's 1533-position model. The record is from RNAcentral.
UACGAAGGGUGCAAACGUUGCUCGGAAUCAUUGGGCGUAAAGCGUACGUAGGCGGCCCAGCAAGUUGGAUGUGAAAUCCCUCGGCUCAACCGAGGACGUGCAUCCAAAACUGCUGGGCUUGAGUACUGAAGAGGAUCGCGGAAUUCCCGGUGUAGAGGUGAAAUUCGUAGAUAUCGGGAGGAACACCAGUGGCGAAGGCGGCGAUCUGGGCAGAUACUGACGCUGAGGUGCGAAAGCGUGGGGAGCAAACAGG